GGGUGAUACAGAAAAAUUUUCCCAGGAUGAGCAUUGAUCCCAGUUGGUUAGUUGCGAGUAUGUAACAAGGGUGUGGCCAUCUCCAGUAAGGUUAAUUCCCAAGAAGGAUUCAUGGGUGUACCAAAUGACGAAUACGCCUACAGUUGCUAUCCCUACAUAAAUCCCAGUGACCAGAUAGCGGAAUAAAAUCCAGGCAGUGAUCAAUGAAUCACCCCUUCUACGGGGAGGCUUCUUCAUUAUGUCCUUAUCUGGAGGAUUG
This 259-nucleotide unclassified non-coding RNA is filed under the name Hevea brasiliensis (rubber tree). Lineage: Eukaryota; Viridiplantae; Streptophyta; Magnoliopsida; Malpighiales; Euphorbiaceae. The record is from RNAcentral.